Molecule: ribosomal RNA, 296 nt
Filed under: Cyanobacteria bacterium UBA11153
Lineage: Bacteria; Bacillati; Cyanobacteriota
Description: partial 23S ribosomal RNA
Rfam family: Bacterial large subunit ribosomal RNA
Source: RNAcentral
UCGGUCCAUAUCCGGUGCAGGCGUAAGAGUAUUGCGAGGAGCCUUCCUUAGUACGAGAGGACCGGGAAGGACGCACCGCUGGUGUACUGGUUAUCGUGCCAACGGUAAACGCCAGGUAGCCAUGUGCGGAGCGGAUAACCGCUGAAAGCAUCUAAGUGGGAAGCCCACCUCAAGAUGAGUACUCUCAUGGAGUUAAUCCAGUAAGGUCACGGGUAGAACACCCGUUAAUAGGCGUCAGGUGGAAGUGCAGUAAUGUAUGCAGCCGAGGCGUCCUAAUCGACCGAGGGCUUGACCUC